This 229-nucleotide long non-coding RNA is filed under the name Mytilus galloprovincialis (Mediterranean mussel). The record is from RNAcentral. Lineage: Eukaryota; Metazoa; Mollusca; Bivalvia; Mytilida; Mytilidae.
AUUCUGAUUGGCUGACUGCACAACACGUGUUAUUCCGUAAGCAAUUACAUUGCUCAAUAAAACUUUUCAUUCAUGAUAACACGUGGUCCCACAAUAAAGUGCACAGGUGGAUUAAAUAAAACAAUAAUAUAAUUCGUGUUUUCGUGAUCAUUGCUAAAAAAAUGUAAUUAUAAGUAUUGAAUGUUUCUUUUUGUAACUUCACAGGGUUGUAAAAGCGUUGACCGUGCGC